Long non-coding RNA from Humulus lupulus (European hop), 2830 nucleotides. RefSeq lists it as uncharacterized. NCBI's taxonomy places the organism in Eukaryota, Viridiplantae, Streptophyta, Magnoliopsida, Rosales, Cannabaceae. The transcript has 3 exons. The record is from RefSeq and is a predicted model, not a curated record.
UUUGGUCUUUUGAAUUUGAAUAUUUUAGACAGAGUGGUUUGCGGGGGAAUAAGCGUGAAGAGGGUGUAAGGUGAUAACUGAGUCCAAAAGAGUGAAGAAAGGAGGAAAUGCCAUGUACAGAUGGUGAGAAAGGAAUGACAUCAAAUUGUUUCAAAAGAGAAAGUGGGAAACAAAACUUAGGGGGGAGUUUUGAAAAUGGUUAAUAUAAGAAACAAUUUCGAGAAAUGUGUGGUUAGUGGGGAAGGGUAUAUAUAUGAAGAGGAGCAGGAGGUCUGGAAUUGGUGAAGGUGAGAUUUCAAUUCAAUGUGUGUAGAUUUUUUGUUAUAUAUUGGGGGCUUGGUUGUUAGUUUUAUCAAGUAAAGUUUUCUUUUUUGGUCGAAGUUGUUCAGCUAGAUUUUGAAUGAUUUUUCUGGAAUUUGUUUGAUCUCUGUAGAAUUGAAAUCUGCAACAUUGUUUAGGAAUAGUUAAAUAGGACAAUUGAUCUGAAUUUAAAGCUAAUUAUUCAUUUAGAAGUUUGUAAUUUGAUAUUAAUUUUGUAUGUUGUGGUUAUAGAGUGGGUAUUGUUUCAGACAUCCAUUUUCUUAUUAGAAGUCUGACUGGUUUUUGGCAAGUUUAUUGGGUAUAUUUGAUUUGGUGGAUUGUUUUUCUUCCAAUCGACGUUGUUAUUAAUGUAAUUUUAACAUGCUUAUUCAUUUAUAUUUUUCAUCAUUGUAUGAAGUUUGGAUGAGAUAGAAAAGCUACCUGAAGAUGAAGACCAGCACGAGCAUGAACAUCAAACUAAUAAAAAACGGCAACGAAAAUGCCAUUCUCAUCCCUAAUCAUCUUAUUCGGAAAAAUGUGAAAUAAUUGAAAAUAAAAAUGGACCUAUGUCUCGCAAUGAUUACAUUCAGAAGAUAAGGUAGUUAUCUUUUUUUCAAGAAAAAGAGAAAAUUACAUCUUACACUGAAAUUGUGCUAUUUGUUUAUCGUUGUGAGCAGGAAAGAAGCUUGUUCUUAGAAGCCUUAUGUGGAAUUAUCUGUUGAUGUUAUGGAAAUUGAGAAAUAUCUUUGUUUUGGCAUAUUUUUUAAUAGGUUUCUUAUAAUUUUUAUUAUUUUUUUUCUCCUUGCCUGUUUUAAUUUCUGUCUGUUGUCGGGAACUUGUAGUUCUGCUAUUGUCCAUUAGGUAGCAUAUGGUAGUAAGAUUUUCUGCGAUAUUCAGCGUGUUAGUAAAAUUCAGUACUUGUUAUGAUUUGGUUUUGGCAUAAUUCAUGCUUUAUUUACUUAACCUGAGUUAUUUUGUUUGAGAAUUUAGGUGAUGAAAGUAGUUCCUCAGAAUGUGAAGAAAAACAAGAUUGACCAAAUUCUGGUUAAUGUCCCGAUCUUUUGUUUCUAAUAUUAAUUUUCUUUUGCUCUAAUCAAGUAAAGUUCAUUCGAUUGUCAUAGUAUGAAUAUGACAAUUUGGGAAACUUGAUGAUUUCCCUUGUUAGAUUGUCAUAGUGUGAUUAUGUUGUAUGGCCAGACAUCCUGUUUGUGCUAACUCUUUUAUGUGGUCCUUUGAGGUUAUGAAAAUGGACUUGAUUGAGUAAAGAGCGGAAGUGAACAACGUUUUCCUUUUCUUGGAGAACCUAUUUGGGUAAUAUGUGGUAAAUUUGGAGAAUAUAUAUGCAAUGAGGUAGGAAUUUAAGGACAUGUGUAGUUAAAGUUUUCAUCUCUUGUAUUUCUAUUUCUUCAAGUUCGAUCAUCGGUCUUUGGUAUUGGUACUUGUUGAUAGACUAAUGACAAUGUCUGCAGCAUGGAGUGCAAACGUGAGCUUUUAGAAAUUAGUAAUGCUACAAAGGUAAUCAAUGCGCAAAAUUUAUUUUAGCAAUUAAAAAUUACUGCUUUCAAAAUUGUAAAGCCUUUCAAAUUACUACAUUAGGAACCUUCAUGGACCCAAAGAGCAGAUGUCGUCUCGUAGGAGCUUAAAAAUACCUUACCCAUGUCUGAGAUUGAAGAGGACACUUGGGAUUUCAAUAGGAAUUCCUAGACAAGGAAAUAAUCUUAGCUUUGUACUUAUGAACAGUAUGCUUAUGAGUGUUGUAUUUACAAAUCAGUUAUCCAAAGUACUUGUGAAGGUUCUCAUUUAUGGAUGGCUGAGAAUAUAUUGGCAUACCCUUCUACAAUGAAAUUAAUGGCCUAAAAGAUUACGUGGUGGGGUUGGUGGGGAAAUAAGGAAUUCACAGCUAUAAGAAAUGUUGUUUUCCUAUUUGAAGCACAACAUUAAUAUUUGCAUCUGAAACUCUAAAUUAUCUUGUAGUUGGAAAUCUCAAAGACUUGGAGACCUUGCUAAGAUUGUUUGGUUAUGAAAUCUAAUGAGACAUUUGAAGAGAAAAAUUAAGCUAGUUCCCUUUCCAGAGAUCUUGUUGAACUGUACAAAAGGGUCGGUGGUAGAGAGGGCGCUAUGAUUGGCCCCAUUCAUAAUGAAAAUGAAGGCUCAUUUUGUGUACAUGGUAAAACCUCUGGUUUGAUGUCCUUCCGCUAAAAAUGUUUCGUAUAUAUUAACGAAAGUAGUUGUAGACAUUUAAUUUUGUUGCAUUUUAGUUUUGGAAUCUAAAUGAAUUCGUUUAUUUUUUAAAAUGUAGGCACUGAAGUAGAGGGCAGUAGAGUAUUAAGCACAUAUUUUGUCAGAUAGGUAAAUGCCUGAUUGGUUCGCGAUUAGAAAACUGUAUUUUUUAUAAGUGAGAUUCUGAAAUGAAAAUCUGAAUUUAGUUACUAAAAAUAUGUUUCUGAAAAUGUGAUUGGUUCAAUAUUAGGAAAUUGUUUUUGAGUUUUAAAAAACUGAAUCUGUGAUUGGUAUUAAAUUUGAAAAUAUA